RNAcentral lists this transfer RNA (66 nucleotides) under Elimaea berezovskii. RNAcentral describes it as "tRNA-Leu". It matches the Rfam family "tRNA". Rfam says of the family: Transfer RNA (tRNA) molecules are approximately 80 nucleotides in length. The record is from RNAcentral. Lineage: Eukaryota; Metazoa; Arthropoda; Insecta; Orthoptera; Tettigoniidae.
UCUAAUAUGGCAGAUAAGUGCAAUAGAUUUAAGCUCUAUAUAUAAAGGUAAUUCCUUUUAUUAGAA